Molecule: long non-coding RNA, 2238 nt
Organism: Heterocephalus glaber (naked mole-rat)
Lineage: Eukaryota; Metazoa; Chordata; Mammalia; Rodentia; Bathyergidae
Source: RefSeq, a predicted model, not a curated record
CGCCCGCCGCCCCGCGCACGCGCCGCCCCCGCCCCUUCAGCGAGGGUCGCUAGGGAGCACCCACGGGCGGCCUGCCCCUCGCCUCCUGACCGAGUCCCCGCGGACACCCUCUCUCUCGCCCGCCCGCCCUUGGGGUGGCCACGAGGGACUUCCUCUGCUCUCCUCCUCCACACCCGCCGCCCCGACUUCCCGCCCCAACGUCAGGCACUCGCUCGUCCGCCCUCUCCUCUGGGCCGGAUGCCCCUCCCCCCCCAGGGGGCACCAGGAAGGUCUCUGUGCCUUGGACAAAGACGCUCUCAAACUGAACGGAGUCAUUCAGCAUCCUCCGCGAGAUCUGGGGUGGCCCCAGAAAUGCACGUGUCACACCUGUCCACGCAGGUGAUGCUGAAGCCUCGGCGGUAGUCCGAGCCACCUCUGUCCCCAUCCCCAGCGGGCUGCGGCCGCUGCCUCGCUUCUGACCCUGAACAGCCCCCUGUAAGCUCAGCCAAGAGAAACCUAAAAGCUUGAGAAAGUUGUGUCUCGUGCUGAGCGGAACAGAGUGGGGUGAGAGCUCCCCGAGGAGCCCAGCUGAUCUUGGGGAGCCUGUUCAAGGUCGCCACUCCCUAGCACUCAGGUUGUGAAGGAAGAGCUCCAAAGACCCAUUGAGAGGCAGCCAGGACUGGAGGAGGAGAAUGUGUGAGGAUCUAGCCCGGGAUGCAUUUUUUUAUGUCACUGCUCAUACAUUUUCCCGAGCUGGAGGCUAAGCAAGCCAAUUCGUUCACAACUCAUUUUUCUGGGCUGGCCUCCUCUCAUGGCUAAGUCUUUCAACACCAACAGGUUCUUCCCAGUCAAGGAGAUGCAACUGAACUUGGAUUGAGCCCAGCUGGAAAGGUUUCUGAUUGCCAAGAUGACCUGCUGCUUUCAAGGAGAACAGAAUUCAAAUGAUGAUUAAUGAAGUGGUAGGGAGGAGAGCGAGAAAGGGCAGAUGACACUGCAUUCGGCAACAGUGCAGUUGAAAAAGGAUUCUUGGGUGGUGUGGGAAGUAUUAGGAGAGCUCCAGGCCCCUUCUGUUUCCCAAUAGUAGCCAUGUUCUCUGUGCUUUUGACUUUGAAUGUUUUUAUUGUUUGUCACUGAAGCCAGAUAUUCUGGAUUUGGAUCCUAGCUUCAUGUUUAUAUGCUGUGCAGUGUUGGGGAAGUUGCUUACCUAGCUGUGCUUUUGCAACAUUGUUCCAAAACAAGGACAAUAAGCCUCAAAAGUUAAAGGAACCUGGGCCAGGGAUGUAGCUCAGCGGCACAGCCUGGUAGAGGUCCUGAGUUCCAUCCCUGGUACCAAAAAAAAAAAAAAGUUAAAUGAACUAGUGAGAUAGGUAGAACAGUGCAUUAAGAAGAUGGGCUGUGCAGCUUCUGGCUCAGUAUAAUUUCCAGCUCUAACACUCACUUGUUGUGCAGCCUAGGACAAGUUAUUUAACCAUUCUGCUUCAGAUUUCUCAUACAUAAAACUAACAUGGGGCUGCGGAUUUAGCUCAUUGGUUCCAGUGCCUGCCUCAGAACCGCAAGGUCCUGAGUUCAAUCCCUGGUACCAACAAAACAAAACAAAAAAACAAAAAUUAAAGAAGAAUUAAGAUGUUUAAAGAACAACAACAACAACAACAACAACAAAACUAACAUGACAAUAGCUCUUAUCAUGGAGCAUGUUCUGAUGAAUUAAUACAGUCAGUGCCACUAGGCUAAACCUAGACCCCAAAGCUUUAAUAAGUUGCCCAGGUGAUUCUACAAGGAGGGGAAGUAGGGUACUUCUUUGAGUCAACAGCUGUGCAUCAUCCGAUGAGUGAUUUCUUUCAUCUGAGACUCAGUUUCCACACCUAUAAAAUGGAGAGUGGCAGAGAAGAGUGUCUAAGCUGUCCCUGUAGAACUCUGGUUUUGUGGGAGUGCUUCGUACCUAUGUGCCUUUGCACAUCCUGCUCCUUCUGCCCAGAGUGACACCCCAGCCUACCACUUUGGCGUGUCUACUGGCCCUCUGAACCUCAGGCCUUCCCUUCCAGUGAAGGUGAUGGCACCUGACUACAGGCUCGUGCUCCUCCUUAGACAUCUGCUUUUGGUCACAGGCACCUCUCUGUGCUCCACACAUGAAGUGCACAGGGACCCCAUCUGUCCACUCUCCUGAAGCACCUUCAGCAAGCCAGUGAGACCUUGUUCAGGUGAUGCUGAUGAUUCUGACCCAAGAAUGAUAUGCUGAGAACCACAAGUCAGAACAACCAG